AUUCUAAUCAUGAAACGCAAUUUUUCAUAUAAAUACGGAUUAUUUGAAAAUGUAUAAUCGCUCACCUGAGUUCAUGACUUAAAAAAGGUGUGUGAUACAACACAAUAACAAACGAUUCAACAGUUUUAUUUAAAAUUUUCUCUCCAAGAUUUGUCAUCGAACCUGCAGACCUCCAGACCUCCACAGCUUUUAUUACCUCCUCGUUUUUACGAUCUUUUAAACUUUUUUUGAGUUGACAAAAGAGAUGAUAGUCGGACGGAGCUAAAUCUGGUGAAUAAGGGGGGUGUUUUAGUAAUUCAAACCCUAAAUCACGAAUUUUUUGCAUGGCAACAUAAGAUUUGUAUGUAGGGGCGUUGUCCCGCAAAAACAAAACACCUUUGGAUAGAUUUCCACGUCUUUUUUCUUUAAUUUUUUCCGUAGAGUGCAGAUAUUUGGACACGAAACUUCUUAGAUCUUGGAGAACCAGAGUGUCGCCAUUCCGUCGAUUGUUGCUUUGUUUCUGGAUCGUAGAAAUUUACCCAAGUGUCAUCCAUAGUAACAAUUCGGUUUAAGAAGUCUACAUCGUUUUCAAAUCGAGCACAGAUCGAACGCGAUAAUUCUACACUUGCAACAUUCAAACAUUUUGGGAUCCAUUUUGCAGCAAUUUUUCUCAUGUCUAAAUUGACGUGAACUAUAUGAUGAUCGCGUUAGUAUGAAAUAUUCAGUGCUUCAGAUAUCCGUUUUAGCCCAAAUCGGUUCGAUAAAAUUAUGUCAUGAACUGCAUCGAUAUUUUCGGGAACUGACACAGAUAGUGGCCUUCCCGAUCGGUUAUCAUCUUCAAUAGAAAAUUUACCUCUUUUGAAGCUUGCAGUCCAAUUUUUCACGGUCGCAUAUGAAGGACAUUUAUCACCAAGGGUAUUAAACAUAUCUUCGAGAAUCUGCUUACCUCUCAACCCUUUCAAAUACAGAUUACUUGAUGAUGGCUCGAUACUCCAAUUUUUCGAUUUUCACAAUUUCGGUGGAAAUCUUCUUUCUUUUAAUUUAUUGCGUAACUAUGGUUUACUUUUUUGACGUCAAAUGUUACAAUGACACUUCUGAUAAGUAUUUCUGAUAAGCACUACACUUUUCCUGAUAGCUAUUAAGACAUACUAGAUCCCUACUCGCCACUUGUCAAAGGUAGACUAUAUGCUGAUGACUUUGUUAAAGGAAUGAACUUGACAUCCAUCAAAACUAUUUACAGCAAACCAUCAGUAAACUAGAGGGGAGGAGAGCUGACCAAAAUACAUUAUUACACACAUAAAUAUUUAGUAAGAUCUAAACUAAACAAUUUCAAAUUUUUUCUUUACAAAUAUACAAACGUCUCCACCGUG
Molecule: long non-coding RNA, 1349 nt
Organism: Diorhabda carinulata
Lineage: Eukaryota; Metazoa; Arthropoda; Insecta; Coleoptera; Chrysomelidae
Exons: 3
Source: RefSeq, a predicted model, not a curated record